Molecule: ribosomal RNA, 255 nt
Filed under: uncultured bacterium
Lineage: Bacteria
Description: partial 16S ribosomal RNA
Rfam family: Bacterial small subunit ribosomal RNA
Source: RNAcentral
UACGGAGGGUGCAAGCGUUGUCCGGAAUCACUGGGCGUAAAGGGCGCGUAGGCGGCUCAUGAAGGCUGUGGUGAAAGUCCGGGGCUCAACCUCGGAUCGGCCGUGGCGACUCGUGGGCUGGAGCACUGUAGAGGCGGGUGGAAUUCCGGGUGUAGCGGUGGAAUGCGCAGAUAUCAGGAGGAACACCGAUGGCGAAGGCAGAUCUCUGGGCCGUAACUGACGCUGAGGAGCGAAAAGCAUGGGGGAGCGAACAGG